RNAcentral lists this ribosomal RNA (505 nucleotides) under uncultured Archaeosporaceae. RNAcentral describes it as "SSU rRNA". It matches the Rfam family "Eukaryotic small subunit ribosomal RNA", at positions 569 to 1078 of the family's 1831-position model. Lineage: Eukaryota; Fungi; Glomeromycota; Glomeromycetes; Archaeosporales; Archaeosporaceae. The record is from RNAcentral.
AGCAGCCGCGGUAAUUCCAGCUCCAAUAGCGUAUAUUAAAGUUGUUGCAGUUAAAAAGCUCGUAGUUGAAUUUUGGAUUCUUCCAAUUGGUCCAUCUUUUAGAUGAGUACUGGUUGUGUGGGGUCUAUCCGCCUGGUGAUACGUAAUGUCCUUUAUUGGAUGUUGCGGGUAGUCAGGACCUUUACCUUGAAAAAUUAGAGUGUUUAAAGCAGGCUUAUGUCGGAAUACAUUAGCAUGGAAUAAUAGAAUAGGACGAAGUUGUUUUAUUUGUUGGUUUCUAGGACAACCGUAAUGAUUAAUAGGGAUAGUUGGGGGCAUUAGUAUUCAAUUGUCAGAGGUGAAAUUCUUGGAUUUAUUGAAGACUAACUACUGCGAAAGCAUUUGCCAAGGAUGUUUUCAUUAAUCAAGAACGAAAGUUAGGGGAUCGAAGACGAUCAGAUACCGUCGUAGUCUUAGCCAUAAACUAUGCCGACUAGGGAUCGGGCGAUGUUGUUUCCAUGACUCG